Molecule: ribosomal RNA, 730 nt
Filed under: uncultured bacterium
Lineage: Bacteria
Description: SSU rRNA
Rfam family: Bacterial small subunit ribosomal RNA
Source: RNAcentral
GUGCCAGCAGCCGCGGUAAUACGGAGGAUCCAAGCGUUAUCCGGAAUCAUUGGGUUUAAAGGGUCCGUAGGUGGAUAAUUAAGUCAGAGGUGAAAUCUUGCAGCUCAACUGUAAAAUUGCCUUUGAUACUGGUUAUCUUGAGUUAUUAUGAAGUAGUUAGAAUAUGUAGUGUAGCGGUGAAAUGCAUAGAUAUUACAUAGAAUACCAAUUGCGAAGGCAGAUUACUAAUAAUCAACUGACACUGAUGGACGAAAGCGUGGGUAGCGAACAGGAUUAGAUACCCUGGUAGUCCACGCCGUAAACGAUGGUUACUAGCUGUUUGGACCUUGUGUCUGAGUGGCUAAGCGAAAGUGAUAAGUAACCCACCUGGGGAGUACGUUCGCAAGAAUGAAACUCAAAGGAAUUGACGGGGGCCCGCACAAGCGGUGGAGCAUGUGGUUUAAUUCGAUGAUACGCGAGGAACCUUACCAGGGCUUAAAUGUAAGUUGCAUUAGUUAGAGAUAGCUAUUUCUUCGGACCACUUACAAGGUGCUGCAUGGUUGUCGUCAGCUCGUGCCGUGAGGUGUCAGGUUAAGUCCUAUAACGAGCGCAACCCCUGUUGUUAGUUGCCAGCGAGUCAUGUCGGGAACUCUAACAAGACUGCCGGUGCAAACCGUGAGGAAGGUGGGGGAUGACGUCAAAUCAUCACGGGCCCUUACGUCCUGGGCUACACACGUGCUACAUGGGUCGG